UGUGAACCCUUGUGCAAGUUUUAUGAUUACCAUCUCACUCCCAUUGUAGAAACCCUGCCAUCACAUUUGAAAGACACCAAUGACGUCCUUAAGAAAUUAGACCAUUUACAGCUAGAUCCGGAUAUGAUUCUCGCUACUUGCGAUGUUGAGGCUCUAUACACAUCUAUCAGACACCGGGACGGUCUAGAAGCGAUCUCUUCAGAAAAAAGAUAUCAGCCAACACUGUACUCCACGCCUCCUCAGGACACCCUCCACACUUGAUCAAAAAUAUACCAACAAGGCAGUUCUUGAGAGCACGUCGGAUCUGUUACAGUGAGGACAGUUUUGAAGCCCAAGCUGAAGAUCUCAGGGUACGAGGCAUUGACCGCGUCUACAUCAGCAACCGGGGAGGUGAUUGGAAAAGAAUACUUGCACAAAAAGAAACUUGCUGGAUAGAAGUAUUAGGCACAAGGACUCCGGAUGGCCUCAAUGAAGUGAACAGCUUUGUUCCCUUUUUAUAUCAACAUGCUUUUUGAAAAUUCGCUGAGAAAUUGAUGCCAAUUGGCUCUUUGAUCUAUCUUUUGGGAUGUGAUGAUCCAAUAAUUUGACCGCUGAUUAUGUCCUUUGUCCCUUCCCUUUCUUCCCCUCCCCC
Molecule: long non-coding RNA, 631 nt
Organism: Hyla sarda
Lineage: Eukaryota; Metazoa; Chordata; Amphibia; Anura; Hylidae
Exons: 4
Source: RefSeq, a predicted model, not a curated record